UGAAGUCAGUGAAUUAAUUACGUAAAAUGUAUUAUAACUGAAGUUCAGGGACAGCCAAGGUCAGGUAGUGAGGAGCAGAGACCACAGGGACCACCAGGGACAGCCAGUGUACAUGCAGGUUCCGGUUCUUCUGUGCAGCAGAACAUGUCCAGGUCUUUCCCAGGACUUUUUAGAGAAAGGCAGAAUUCCCGUGCCGUACGGACAACAA
Molecule: long non-coding RNA, 208 nt
Organism: Perca fluviatilis (European perch)
Lineage: Eukaryota; Metazoa; Chordata; Actinopteri; Perciformes; Percidae
Exons: 2
Source: RefSeq, a predicted model, not a curated record